Molecule: ribosomal RNA, 253 nt
Filed under: uncultured bacterium
Lineage: Bacteria
Description: partial 16S ribosomal RNA
Rfam family: Bacterial small subunit ribosomal RNA
Source: RNAcentral
UACGUAGGGGGCAAGCGUUGUCCGGAAUCAUUGGGCGUAAAGAGCGUGUAGGCGGCUCGGUAAGUCCGCUGUGAAAGUCCAGGGCUCAACCCUGGAAAGCCGGUGGAAACUGUCGAGCUCGAGUCCGGAAGAGGCGAGUGGAAUUCCUGGUGUAGCGGUGAAAUGCGCAGAUAUCAGGAGGAACACCAAUGGCGAAGGCGGCUCUCUGGGCCUGACCUGACGCUGAGGAGCGAAAGCGUGGGGAGCGAACAGG